AGGUUCUCAGCUUGGAGACCAGGCCUAGAAUUUCCUGUACUGAACUGAUGCUGACAAGUUCCUGCCUCAGCCUCCUAAGGACCGAGAUUAUAAGCAUGUGCCAAUUCACCUACCUCCAUGAUUUUGUUAACUGUUGUUAAAACCGUCUUGCAUGAACAAUCUCAGACCACGGGCAGACAGGUGUCUUAAAUUCCAAAUGCAAGACCGCAGGCACGCUGACAGAAUCAUGGGAGUGAACUAUGAUUACCCGGCUUGCUGUGCACUGCAUGCUGACAAGCAUCGGAAAGGUAGGAGAAACAAAGUAGACCAAAACAACUUUGACAGAAGCCCCCUGCAGGGCAAAUGAGGAUGGUGCAGUCUAUCAAUUUUCUGAGUAAGUGUGUACAGCUUCAAGUGAUUUAUUGAAAAUUACAUACCCUACAUCUGAGGAUUCAAACAGGUCCUUUUUUUUUUUUAACACUUUAAUGGUGGAAAAAAGGGAUUUUUGUAGGUCCUGGGUAAGUGGAAAUAAAUACUAAAUAAUUUAAUUAGAAUUCA
This 537-nucleotide long non-coding RNA is filed under the name Mus spicilegus (steppe mouse). Its description in RNAcentral is "lncRNA (ENSMSIG00000025138.1)". Lineage: Eukaryota; Metazoa; Chordata; Mammalia; Rodentia; Muridae. The record is from RNAcentral.